GACGAACGCUGGCGGCGUGCUUAACACAUGCAAGUCGAACGGAAAGGCCCUGCUUUUGUGGGGUGCUCGAGUGGCGAACGGGUGAGUAACACGUGAGUAACCUGCCCUUGACUUUGGGAUAACUUCAGGAAACUGGGGCUAAUACCGGAUAGGAGCUCCUGCUGCAUGGUGGGGGUUGGAAAGUUUCGGCGGUUGGGGAUGGACUCGCGGCUUAUCAGCUUGUUGGUGGGGUAGUGGCUUACCAAGGCUUUGACGGGUAGCCGGCCUGAGAGGGUGACCGGCCACAUUGGGACUGAGAUACGGCCCAGACUCCUACGGGAGGCGGCAGUAGGGAAUAUUGCACAAUGGGCGGAAGCCUGAUGCAGCAACGCCGCGUGCGGGAUGACGGCCUUCGGGUUGUAAACCGCUUUCGCCUGUGACGAAGCGUGAGUGACGGUAAUGGGUAAAGAAGCACCGGCUAACUACGUG
This 468-nucleotide ribosomal RNA is filed under the name uncultured bacterium. RNAcentral describes it as "partial 16S ribosomal RNA". It matches the Rfam family "Bacterial small subunit ribosomal RNA", at positions 28 to 507 of the family's 1533-position model. The record is from RNAcentral.